CCAAAAGCUCAGUCCUCGCUUUACUAUUAGUUUUAACUAGAUUUACACAUGCAAGUCUCUGCCCACCAGUGACAACGCCCUAUAUUAUAGGAGCCGAUAUCAGGCACAACACCUAUGUUAGCCGACCACAUCUAGCCAAGCCACACCCCUAAGGGCCUGCAGCAGCGAUUAACCUUAUUAAUAAGCGCAAGCUUGACCUAGUCAUAGUUAAAAGAGCUGGUAAACCCUGUGCCAGCCACCGCGGUUAAACAGGAAGCCCAAAUUAAUAAACACACGGCGUAAAACGUGAUCAAGAGACAUCAUCCCACCUAAGACUAAAAGCCCACUCGGCUGUAAUACGCCUCAGUGAGACAACACACACAGUCAAUCGAAAGUAGUCUUAACCACAAUGACUAUCCCAACAUCACUACUGCUAAAACACAAACUGGGAUUAGAUACCCCACUAUGCUUAGCCACAAAACUUGACCAACUACUACAUCAUCUGCCAGAGUACUACGAGCGUCAGCUUAAAACUCAAAGGACUUGGCGGUGCCCCAAACCCACCCAGAGGAGCCUGUUCCAUAAUCGACAAUCCACGCUCUACCCAACCAUCUUUUGCAAUCAGCCUAUAUACCACCGUCGUCAGCUAACCUUUUGAAAGCAUCACAAUUAGCAAAACUGCAACACGCAAGCACGUCAGGUCAAGGUGUAGUACAUAAGAUGGAGAGAAAUGGGCUACAUUUUCUCUAAUGAGAAAACUACGAAUAGUGUAAUGAAAAACAACUUGAAGGCGGAUUUGGCAGUAAGAAGAGACCAUCAUGUUCUUCUUAACUCGGCUCUGAGGCGCGCACACACCGCCCGUCACCACCUCUCAUCGAUAGGCCAAACCAAAAUAAAUAAUAACAUAAAGAAUUUUAGAUGAGGAAAGUCGUAACAUGGUAAGCGUACUGGAAAGUGCUCUUGGAUUAAC
This 949-nucleotide non-coding RNA is filed under the name Oscaecilia ochrocephala. RNAcentral describes it as "12S ribosomal RNA". It matches the Rfam family "Bacterial small subunit ribosomal RNA". Lineage: Eukaryota; Metazoa; Chordata; Amphibia; Gymnophiona; Caeciliidae. The record is from RNAcentral.